CGCAAAGUCAAAAUGUUCAUCUCUCUCCAUUUCUCUCUGCCCCUUCAUGACCCCAUCUUCUCUCUCUCAACUCCAAACCUUGAUAGCCACUGCCUAAUAUCGCCGCCGGUGAUAGAGAUAACCUGCCGAUCAUUUCCAGUUCCGACGAGAACAACCUUUUUCUCGUCAGAAAAUGCCCAAAACUGUCUCUCUUUCUUGUUGUUUCCAACCACCAACAUCAGAAGUUUUCUCGCCACUUCUAACACCUGACGUUGCAAGAUGGUUUUCUUCUCUCUUUUUGAAUUUAUUUUCUGAAUUUUUCUGUUUACAUAUGUGUUUCGUUUUGUUUUUAUAAAUUGACAUAUACAUUCAUAUGUAGAAAGGAAACUUGUACCGUUUGAUAAAAUGCUUCAGUGAGGAUGGAAAUGGAUGCACUAAUAAUACAGUAAAAUGGUUUUUUUUUUUUUUUCUUUUCAAAAAAAUGUUAUUUUGGAUUAGAUUAAAAGUGGUUAGUAUGAUGUAGUUUUAUAAGUAGAGAAAUAAAGCUCUUUAUUUGGUGGAUGUGCUUGAGUUUCAGGUAUUAUUUAUUAGUUAGAUUUUUUCUUUUUCAGCUUUGCAUUUUAAAGAUGGUUUCUUUUAGAUGCAUUUAAGUUUGCAAUAUGUGUUGGCUUACUUGGAAUUUUCACAAUUUCUUUCAUUCCUUGUAAUAAUAUUUUUUUUCAUGGUGCGGGGAUGGAUGUGAUGCUUUUGUUCCGUUGUUUUUGAUGAAGGAAUUGAUUUUGAUAAAUAGUUUCUUCCUAAGGUAUUCAAUCUAUCCCUUUGUCAUUUUCUUAGUUUUAGUCUUUCGUUGAGUUAUUAUGGAAAAUUGUGAUAUUUUGUUUUUGGAUUUUGCCUCUGUUUUGUUCUGUAUUCUGAGCUCUGUUUCAUUUGGCUUAUGUAUCAUAUUAGGCUCAGCCAAAAUCAUUUCAAAGUUCACUUUUUUAAUGUACAAAACAAUCCCAUUUUUAUAAAUAAAUAAUUAAAAAAAAAUACUGAAAAAUAAGCUGUACCAAACGGGCAUUGAGUGAGACAGCUUUCAUUCAUUUGGGUUCAAAAUAAUAUGUUAUCUAAAUUCAAAUUUACACAUUUAUUUUCUUUCUACAAAUUCCCAACAAUCAAUAGGAUAAAAAUUUACUUGCUGGUUUUCCUUGACACAGUUAUAAGUGGUGUAUAUUGAUAAAUAUGACAGAUUUUGUUUGUUGUUUGGGAACUCAAAUCAAUUCUUUGUUAUCUUUUUCUUAUGGAUUCAAUCGAAGUACUGUGUAUGAAACUGAAAAGUACUGUGAUAUAUUCUAAUUGCAAUCUAUAACCUGAACUUUUGCUCAAUGUGUGGGACUGGAGAUAUGUUCUGUUUUGGACUCAUGAACAAUGGUAAUUUAAUCACUGAUAUAUUGGACACUCAGGAUAGCUACAAUGUGAUCAACUGUGUUGCUAUAGUGACAAAUCUUAUAAUAAUUACUACAACUACAACUACAACAUAGAUUUUGAGAAAUUGGUGUUUGGUGAUGUUAAGAUCUUAUCAGUUAGACAUGUAAAGGGAAAAAUGGUGGUGAGAAUGUGAAGAGUAAUAUUGGUAGUAUGAGAAUGUUUAUUUGUUGAAUUUGCUUAAUGAUACAUUUCAAAUGAAAUUUGAACUUGGGGUUUGGAUGCAUAAAAAUUCCAAGUUCAAAGUUUCUGACAAAUUUUGAAAUAUAACGUUUACCCAAAAAAGGGAUAUCGGCAGGUUAAAAUUUUAAUUAUCAACUCCAAAGUAAAAUCUCACUUCAAAAUCUGGAAUUAAAAGUUUCAGACGCAAACCAAUUAUUCUAAGUCUUGUUGACAAACCGAGGAGGUUACAUAAACUAUAGUAUAUCAUGAGUUCAAUGUGAACUUCAAGUUGAAGCUAGCUAAAUCAAAUAUGUUUAUGGUGAAGCACUUAAUGGCUAUGGCUAAGUAACCUUCCAUGGAAAAAAACUUCUGAUCUGCAUACAUGAUCCAGAACCAGGCUGUCCUUGCAUACGCAUGAUAGCCUUUGCAAGAGAAUAUGGCUGUGUUAGUUGAUUUUUGUGGUGUAUUUUUGAAUAUACUAGAAGCAUAUAUACUCAUUUUGGUUUGUAUUUGAUAAGUACACUCAAAAUUGGAUGUGGCCCUGUUGACAUCCAUUAUCAUUCGCUUUAGUUCUUUUACUUUUCCAGUCCUCCUUCUACACACCCCCCCCCCCCUUCUCUAAUUAUCUCAGAAUUGAUUUCAAAUACAGGCCACAGUUUCUUUUCAGUGCAAUGCUUUUGAGUGCAAAAGCAUUGGGUAGAAUCUGGGAUGAUCUCAUUUAUUCCAAGGCGAUAAAAAGAUCAAGUCACAUCAAAUUUUAACCAUUAAUAUGCAUUAUCACAUAUUAUGACAUAAACCUUGUAAUUACGAUUAAUUAACUUUGAUUUGUCUUGUGUCUAGUUUUCUAUAAAAUUUGAAUUUUGGCAUCUUCAUCAACUUUAAGCAUAUAAACUUACUUUUGGUUUCCUGUGAGUCGGCUGGUAAUGCAGGUAGUUCAGAGUUGGCUCCUCAAAAACAAUUCUGGAACGGUAUUUGGCACCUGCAAGUUCCUAAUAUGAUCAAGCAUUUUGUUUGGCAAGCUUGUAACACUGUUCUGCCAACGAGUAAUCUCUUCCAUCGACAGAUCACUCCUUCGGCCAAUCGUGCUCUCCGCCAGUCUCUCCCAGAAGAUCCUCUUCACGCAUUCUGGUUAUGCAAGGAGGUGGAAUGUGUGUGGCAUCCCUGCACCUGGGCUUCCCAAUCAGUCUCUUCUCCUCCAGAGAAUUUUUGUGAUUUACUCAAUUGUUUCUUACGAUUCCAUGAUGAUUUUCGAAAGGAAAUUUUUGUGAUUGCAGCUUGGUUUUUGUGGAAUAGGAGGAAUGCUCUUCAUUUCGGUCGGACAGCCCAACCUCUAGCCAGCAUUCUCUCUAUGGCUGGACAUGUACUCCAGGAAUUUCUUGCAGCCCAGGAUCCCAAACCACCGGUGUCUCGGCCUCAUCCCUUGAUUCAAUGAGCAAACUAAAAUCACCCUUCUCAGUAAAGCCUCUAGGCACAAAUCCAUCCAUUUUAUGAAAACAUGGCACCGGUUUCUCCUAGUCUAAUUUUUUCACUGUGUUUGAUUUUCAUACUCAUUCCUCAAGCCACUACUCAGCCAAGCUUCAUAUGCCACACUUGUUCACCUGGCCUGGGUAACUAUACCACUAACGUGCCUCUUAUGGCCAGGACCCUGACAAAGUCUAUGCAAUUGGACUCUGUAGAGGAGAUCUUAAUCAAGAUGUUUGCCGAAGUUGCCUUAAUGACUCCACACUUGCUCUCAUACAACUUUGUCCCAAUCAAAAGGAGGCAAUAGGUUGGUACGACAAUUGCACUUUGCGCUUCUCAAACCACUCCAUAUUUGGCAGCGAGGAUGAUAUUCCUUCUUGCUAUAGGUAUAACCGAAAUAACGUGUCGGAUGUAGAUGGCUACGGAAAAGCGGUCAAGUCCCUGUUAGGCCCUGAUAUGCAGCUCCUUCUCAACUGUUUUUAAGACCGGCAACUCAGCAGGUAUAGGGGUCAUAGCUCGAGACUGGAGAGGUGAAGCUAUCGGUGCUCUUUCCUUGUCCAUUCCCCUAGCGCAGAAGGUUGCAGAAAUGGAGGCUCUCGCAUGCCGUAGGGCGGUGCAGUUCGCUGGAGAAAUCGGUCUUCAGAGAGUUAUUUUUGAAGGUGAUGCGGCUGUGGUUAUCAACGCCAUCUCUCAAGGGAAUGAUGCAUUGUCUGCUUAUGGUAAUAUCAUUGACGAUUUUCGCUGCCUUGUUGCUGUUUUUCAGGUUUUUCAGUUUUGUCAUGUCCAUUGUAAUUGAAACGUUUUUGCAAUGCAGUAGCUAGAAAAGCAAAAAACCAGUUGGGGUUCCAGGUUUGGAUGGAAGAAAUGCCUGAGGAUAUUGCCCCCUUAAUUUUGUUUGAUGCUCAUUAGUUUGAUUGUUC
This is an RNA transcript of Quercus lobata, 3986 nucleotides long. It is a transcript of the gene named cysteine-rich repeat secretory protein 38-like, with no coding region annotated. The record is from RefSeq and is a predicted model, not a curated record. The transcript has 3 exons. NCBI's taxonomy places the organism in Eukaryota, Viridiplantae, Streptophyta, Magnoliopsida, Fagales, Fagaceae.